This 503-nucleotide ribosomal RNA is filed under the name uncultured bacterium. Its description in RNAcentral is "partial 16S ribosomal RNA". It matches the Rfam family "Bacterial small subunit ribosomal RNA", at positions 30 to 523 of the family's 1533-position model. The record is from RNAcentral.
AUUGAACGCUGGCGGCAGGCUUAACACAUGCAAGUCGAGCGGGGUGAUGGUGCUUGCACUAUCACUUAGCGGCGGACGGGUGAGUAAUGCUUAGGAAUCUGCCUAUUAGUGGGGGACAACAUCUCGAAAGGGAUGCUAAUACCGCAUACGUCCUACGGGAGAAAGCAGGGGAUCACUUGUGACCUUGCGCUAAUAGAUGAGCCUAAGUCGGAUUAGCUAGUUGGUGGGGUAAAGGCCUACCAGGGCGACGAUCUGUAGCGGGUCUGAGAGGAUGAUCCGCCACACUGGGACUGAGACACGGCCCAGACUCCUACGGGAGGCAGCAGUGGGGAAUAUUGGACAAUGGGGGGAACCCUGAUCUAGCCAUGCCUCGUGUGUGAAGAAGGCCUUAUGGUUGUAAAGCACUUUAAGCGAGGAGGAGGCUCUUUUGGUUAAUACCCAAGAUGAGUGGACGUUACUCGCAGAAUAAGCACCGGCUAACUCUGUGCCAGCCGCCGCGGUAA